GUUAUCUCAACUAAGCCAUAAAGUGGGAGGGGUUACCUCACCUGAGCCACAGUGGCUCAUGUUAAGCUGGGGCGGCUUUAUGAGAUAUUAUUUUGUGGGAUGUUUUCGCUCAUGAACGCUUCAAAUUAGCAUAUCAUUGGAGAACCCAACCAUGUAGGUGUCUCAUUAAUAGGUAUUUGACCAAUAUUCUAUAAAUGUAGUUUGUUUAUUUUCUAGGUCAUCAGUAGUGAUAUCAAAUAAAUCACGUGGUCUUCUGAAAGAGAAAGUGACUCUCUCUUCCCCGCGUGUGUUCAGACGAGGCGACGCGGGCGGGAUAUUGGUUUACUGCGCCUGAACAUUUAUCAAUUACUGCUGAAGACUUAUGUGACAAGAUAUAUACACAAUUUAGGUCCUCUUUUACCAGGAAACAACGUAGAUUCCGCCCCUGUGUGUGUGUGUGCCCAUAUCCGACCUAAGUCAUUCUCACUGUUGGUGACAACCUGAUUGAAAUCAAUACGAUAAGAAUGCAUGGAUCGACAGAGCUCUUGUUGUAGUCAAACUUCGGUAAACUUUAGUUCCACGCUAGAGACGCUAGAGGUCAGCUAUGCUCGUCGUCGCGCAAUGACGUCGUUUAGGAAAAGUGUAGAGUAGAAUUCAUUUUAAACAGUGCUGUUCUUUCCUAUGUUCGAAAGGAAGCACCUUUUCAUCUCCCCUUGACCCGAUGACGUUUUCCACAAAGGUUAAGUAAAGGAGGCAUAAAUGUUAGGAUAUUUGACUAUUCGUAGAGAACUUCCUGCUCAGCUUGUGAUUCACACACAGGCCUUUAUAUUAUCUAUAAUUGACAGAUCAUGAUGAUAUCCGGGUAUACGGACAUCGCUGGAACAAGUUUGUACACCAGUUUCAAACUUUGCAGGGCAGACCAGUCCGCCCAUCUCAUAUAUUAUGAUUCGUUAGUUUAACUUUGUGACCCCAGCGUGUUUCUGAAAGGUUGAGAUGUUUUCAACCAGAAGCUGGGAGCGGCCGCACAGAAGGAAAUCAGACGCUGGAACAAGACGCUGGAACAAGACGCUCUUUGGACACAGACCAUUACAGGUCAAACUCAUUGGACGCUAUUUAGUGUGUUGGCAGUUUAGGAGAAUGCUGCUGGUGAUGGUGUUGUCUCUUCACCCUGCUCCACCUAGGGAACACAACAUAACACAAUGAUGAUCUCACUUUAUUACACAACACAACACAACCAUGAUCUCAAUUUAGUACACAACACAACACAACGAUGAUCUCACUUUAGUACACAACAACACAACCAUGAUCUCACUUUAGUAAACA
Gadus macrocephalus (Pacific cod) is the source of this 1302-nucleotide long non-coding RNA. RefSeq lists it as uncharacterized. Lineage: Eukaryota; Metazoa; Chordata; Actinopteri; Gadiformes; Gadidae. The transcript is spliced from 2 exons. The record is from RefSeq and is a predicted model, not a curated record.